Molecule: long non-coding RNA, 521 nt
Organism: Alosa sapidissima (American shad)
Lineage: Eukaryota; Metazoa; Chordata; Actinopteri; Clupeiformes; Clupeidae
Exons: 4
Source: RefSeq, a predicted model, not a curated record
ACUUGACCACCUGAUGGAGGAGUAGAGGUCAUCAGGGAACAAGGCGGGAACAGUCAGUGAGAGGGCAAACAUGGAGGAGACUGAAGCCGAAGAGGACGUGCAGUCUGGUGAACCAGCAAACUGGGUUGUGGCCUAUGGCCAGAUGUGGCGGGAAAUGACCGAGCAAGAUGGGCCUGUGCUUUGCAGCAACAUGCCCAUCAUAUACUCUGGCCCUGGCUCCAGUUACCAUUCCCCAGCUGAAUGUGGCCUUGACCACCUGAUUGCUUGACCUAACAAAUGAUUGUUGGAACACCAUUGUAGGUGGCUGGGCUUUGUGGUAGGUGGGGCAGCAUGGGGAACAGAACAGGCCUGGUUUACAUCAUUGUGGACAGCCAAGAAGCAUCUACUGUCCAGCAACAUCUACUGUCAACUGCUCAGAUGCCCUUCAACUGACCUAUAUUACAUUACAUCAUUAUUACAUUAUUAUCACCACGGUUAUGAUGUAUUACAUUGAUAUCUCAUUAAAAGAUGACAUAAUUAUA